Molecule: ribosomal RNA, 497 nt
Filed under: uncultured bacterium
Lineage: Bacteria
Description: partial 16S ribosomal RNA
Rfam family: Bacterial small subunit ribosomal RNA
Source: RNAcentral
GAUGAACGCUGGCGGCGUGCCUAAUACAUGCAAGUCGAGCGAACGGACGAGAAGCUUGCUUCUCUGAUGUUAGCGGCGGACGGGUGAGUAACACGUGGAUAACCUACCUAUAAGACUGGGAUAACUUCGGGAAACCGGAGCUAAUACUGGAUAAUAUUUUGAACCGCAUGGUUCAAAAGUGAAAGACGGUCUUGCUGUCACUUAUAGAUGGUUCCGCGCUGCAUUAGCUAGUUGGUAAGGUAACGGCUUACCAAGGCAACGAUGCAUAGCCGACCUGAGAGGGUGAUCGGCCACACUGGAACUGAGACACGGUCCAGACUCCUACGGGAGGCAGCAGUGGGGAAUCUUCCGCAAUGGGCGAAAGCCUGACGGAGCAACGCCGCGUGAGUGAUGAAGGUCUUCGGAUCGUAAAACUCUGUUAUUAGGGAAGAACAUAUGUGUAAGUAACUGUGCACAUCUUGACGGUACCUAAUCAGAAAGCCACGGCUAACUACGUG